CGCGUAAAGAACUUGCCUCACAGCUAGGGACAACAUUUGGAAACGAAUGCUAAUACCUGAUAUUAUGAUUUUAGGGCAUCCUAGAAUUAUGAAAGCUAUAUGCGCUGUGAGAGAGCUUUGCGUCCCAUUAGCUAGUUGGAGAGGUAACGGCUCACCAAGGCGAUGAUGGGUAGCCGGCCUGAGAGGGUGAUCGGCCACAAGGGGACUGAGACACGGCCCUU
RNAcentral lists this ribosomal RNA (221 nucleotides) under uncultured bacterium. RNAcentral describes it as "partial 16S ribosomal RNA". It matches the Rfam family "Bacterial small subunit ribosomal RNA", at positions 114 to 334 of the family's 1533-position model. The record is from RNAcentral.